AACAGCUCAAAUUUGAAAUCUGGCCCCUUGGGGGUCCGAGUUGUAAUUUGUAGAGGGUGUUUCGGGCGCGAUGCCGGUCUAAGUUCCUUGGAACAGGACGUCGUAGAGGGUGAGAAUCCCGUAUGCGACCGGCGAUCAAGCCUGUGUGAAGCCCCUUCGACGAGUCGAGUUGUUUGGGAAUGCAGCUCAAAAUGGGUGGUAAAUUUCAUCUAAAGCUAAAUAUUGGCCAGAGACCGAUAGCGGACAAGUAGAGUGAUCGAAAGAUGAAAAGCACUUUGGAAAGAGAGUCAAACAGUACGUGAAAUUGUUGAAAGGGAAGCGCUUGCAAUCAGACCGGUCCGGAGGCGAUCAGCCGCUGCUCGUCAGCGGUGCACUCGCCUGCGAUCCGGCCAGCAUCGGUUCGGGCGCGGGAUAAAAGUCCCGGGAAUGUAGCUUCUUUCGGGGAGUCUUAUAGCCCGGGUCGCAAUGCCGCCCGCCCGGACCGAGGACCGCGCUUCGGCUAGGAUGCUGGCGUAAUGGUUGCAAGCGACCCGUCUUGAAACACGGACCAAGGAGUCUAACAUCUAUGCGAGUGUUUGGGUGUCAAACCCAGGCGCGGAAUGAAAGUGAACGGAGGUGGGAACCCGUCAGACGGCGCACCAUCGACCGAUCCAGAUGUCUUCGGAUGGAUUUGAGUAUGAGCAUAGCUGUUGGGACCCGAAAGAUGGUGAACUAUGCCCGGAUAGGGUGAAGCCAGAGGAAACUCUGGUGGAGGCUCGCAGCGGUUCUGACGUGCAAAUCGAUCGUCAAAUCUAGGCAUAGGGGCGAAAGACCAAUCGAACCAUCUAGUAGCUGGUUCCUGUCG
Molecule: ribosomal RNA, 844 nt
Filed under: Collema flaccidum
Lineage: Eukaryota; Fungi; Ascomycota; Lecanoromycetes; Peltigerales; Collemataceae
Description: LSU rRNA
Rfam family: Eukaryotic large subunit ribosomal RNA
Source: RNAcentral